GUGGGGAAUAUUGGGCAAUGGGGGCAACCCUGACCCAGCAACGCCGCGUGAGGGAAGAAGGUUUUCGGAUAGUAAACCUCUGUCCUAUGGGAAGAAGGAAGUGACGGUACCAUAGGAGGAAGCCCCGGCUAACUACGUGCCAGCAGCCGCGGUAAUACGUAGGGGGCGAGCGUUGUCCGGAAUUACUGGGCGUAAAGGGUGCGCAGGUGGCCUGACAAGUCAGAUGUGAAAUACCGAUGCUUAACGUCGGGGCUGCAUUUGAAACUAUGAGGCUGGAGGGCAGGAGAGGGAAGCGGAAUUCCUAGUGUAGCGGUGAAAUGCAUAGAUAGUAGGAGGAACACCAGUGGCGAAGGCGGCUUUCUGGACUGUAACUGACACUGAGGCACGAAAGCGUGGGGAGCAAACAGGAUUAGAAACCCCUAGUAGUCC
Molecule: ribosomal RNA, 429 nt
Filed under: uncultured bacterium
Lineage: Bacteria
Description: partial 16S ribosomal RNA
Rfam family: Bacterial small subunit ribosomal RNA
Source: RNAcentral